CCUACGGGUGGCAGCAGUGAGGAAUAUUGGUCAAUGGACGCGAGUCUGAACCAGUCAAGUAGCGUGAAGGAUGACUGCCCUAUGGGUUGUAAACUUCUUUUAUAUGGGAAUAAAAUGUUCCACGUGUGGGAUUUUGUAUGUACUUUAUGAAUAAGGAUCGGCUAACUCCGUGCCAGCAGCCGCGGUAAUACGGAGGAUCCGAGCGUUAUCCGGAUUUAUUGGGUUUAAAGGGAGCGUAGGUGGAUUGUUAAGUCAGUUGUGAAAGUUUGCGGCUCAACCGUAAAAUUGCAGUUGAAACUGGCAGUCUUGAGUACAGUAGAGGUGGGCGGAAUUCGUGGUGUAGCGGUGAAAUGCUUAGAUAUCACGAAGAACUCCGAUUGCGAAGGCAGUUCACUAGACUGCAACUGACACUGAGGCUCGAAAGUGUGGGUAUCAAACAGGAUUAGAUACCCUUGUAGUC
This 460-nucleotide ribosomal RNA is filed under the name uncultured bacterium. RNAcentral's name for it is "partial 16S ribosomal RNA". It matches the Rfam family "Bacterial small subunit ribosomal RNA", at positions 338 to 795 of the family's 1533-position model. The record is from RNAcentral.